This 87-nucleotide transfer RNA is filed under the name Actinobacteria bacterium HGW-Actinobacteria-4. RNAcentral's name for it is "tRNA-Leu". It matches the Rfam family "tRNA". From Rfam's summary of the family: Transfer RNA (tRNA) molecules are approximately 80 nucleotides in length. Lineage: Bacteria; Bacillati; Actinomycetota. The record is from RNAcentral.
GUCCGGGUGGCGGAAUUGGCAGACGCGCUAGCUUGAGGUGCUAGUGCCUUCACGGGCGUGGGGGUUCAAGUCCCCCCUCGGACACCA